UUUUUUUUUUUUUUUUGCAUAUGGAGGUUCUCAGGCUAGGGGUUGAAUCAGAGCUACAGCUGCCGGCCUACGCCACAGCCACAGCCACGCCAGAUCCCCGACACACUGAGUGAGACCAGGAAUGAACCCUCAUCCUCAAGGAUACUAGUCAGAUUCCUUUCCGCUACGCCAGAGUGGGAACUCCCUAGAUAGGGACAUUUACAGGAACAUUCAUGUAUUCAGGAAACCGCUCAAGGGAGUUCCCGUCGUGGCACAGUGGUUAACAAAUCCGACUAGGAACCAUGAGGAACUCCAAAAAAAAUUUUUUUAAUUAAAAAUUAAAAAAAAAAUCCUCCUAUAAGCCUCAGUACUAUAAAACUGUCAAUUUUCCUUAAUCUAUAAAUAUGUAAAUCAGAAUACUGGAGGGAACUUGAUGAAACGGCUCCAAGUUCAUAUGGAAGAAUCAGCAUGCAACAAUAGGCAACUAAACUUUGAAAAGUAUAUGAAAGCGGGGAUUUGUCCUGGCUUAUGUUAAGUGUAUUAAAAGGCUACUGUAAUUAAACUGUGCUACUGUUGUGAGAUGCACAGAUCAACAGAACUGCAUAAAAAGUCCAGAAAUAAACACCAGUGAGGAAGGAGAAGAAAGGCAGGAUUUUAAAUAAUAAAAAGAUGCUUUAGAAAAGACAGAUUAGCCAAUAAAUAGCGUCGAGGCACUUAGGGGAAAAAAUCAGUCUUCCCCAAAUAAAUGCUAGAUGUGAAAAUGAAACGUACGUCCUAAGUGAAGACAGUAUAUAGUCUUGGCAUAGGAAAGGGUUUUCUAAGCCAGACACAAAAGCUCGUGCGCUUUGAUAAACACCGUUCAGCUGGACCACAUAAAAUUUUUUAAUUUCCGAAAGUCAAAAGCAUACAUCACUUGAAAACCACAUCCAUACACACACACACCCAUGCCCACAACCCUAUGUGCUCACACCUCACCCAGCCUCAGUGGAGCAUAAAGUAAAUAAAAGACCAGAUGGGACGAGUCUGUCGCGAUAGAAAUGACAAGAGGCUAGUGGGUCUAGAAUAACAUGUAAAGGAGCUCCCUACACAACAGGACCUACAGGAAACCGGCAGCAGGCAGCGCCCAGCCGGUGAGCCCCAGACUCGGCUCUCCCCGCGUCACCAGUGAAAGGCUGGGAUGAGGCCUGGCACACAGCUGCACUCUGCCGGCACCAGAUGUCAUCAGUGCUGUGGCCACCACACAGGGAAGGACAGCCAGCAGAGCCUGUGGAGGGUCCCCGACAAGCCCAAAUGGGUGUCUGUCUACAGAAGCCCUUACGUGAGUUCACGGUGUUAGAAAAAACACGUCUGUCAAUCAGGGAUCUGGGUUAGACUUUUCAAAAACCAAGCACUGGGAAAAAGCAUCAGCUCCCUUAGUAGUGACUGAAGAGCUGGCCUUGACCGGCUUUGAAAGCUUCUACCAGCUGCCCCUGCCGCAGGCCAGAGGGAUGGCAGCCCAGACCCUGCCC
RNAcentral lists this long non-coding RNA (1487 nucleotides) under Sus scrofa (pig). RNAcentral's name for it is "lncRNA (ENSSSCG00005035804.1)". The record is from RNAcentral. Lineage: Eukaryota; Metazoa; Chordata; Mammalia; Artiodactyla; Suidae.